UACGGAGGGUGCAAGCGUUACCCGGAAUCACUGGGCGUAAAGGGCGUGUAGGCGGCCGCAUAAGUCUGGUUUUAAAGACCGGGGCUCAACCCCGGAGAUGGACUGGAGACUGUGGGGCUAGACCUCUGGAGAGAGAACUGGAAUUCCUGGUGUAGCGGUGGAAUGCGUAGAUACCAGGAGGAACACCAAUGGCGAAGGCAGGUUCUUGGACAGAAGGUGACGCUGAGGCGCGAAAGUGUGGGGAGCGAACCGG
This 253-nucleotide ribosomal RNA is filed under the name uncultured bacterium. RNAcentral describes it as "partial 16S ribosomal RNA". It matches the Rfam family "Bacterial small subunit ribosomal RNA", at positions 524 to 776 of the family's 1533-position model. The record is from RNAcentral.